UGGGGAAUAUUGGACAAUGGGCGGAAGCCUGAUCCAGCAACGCCGCGUGAGGGAUGACGGCCUUCGGGUUGUAAACCUCUUUCAGUACCGACGAAGCGAAAGUGACGGUAGGUACAGAAGAAGGACCGGCCAACUACGUGCCAGCAGCCGCGGUAAUACGUAGGGUCCGAGCGUUGUCCGGAAUUAUUGGGCGUAAAGGGCUCGUAGGCGGUUUGUCGCGUCGGGAGUGAAAACAGCGGGCUUAACUCGUUGCUUGCUUUCGAUACGGGCAGACUAGAGGUAUGCAGGGGAGAAUGGAAUUCCUGGUGUAGCGGUGAAAUGCGCAGAUAUCAGGAGGAACACCGGUGGCGAAGGCGGUUCUCUGGGCAUUACCUGACGCUGAGGAGCGAAAAGUGUGGGGAGCGAACAGGAUUAGAUACCCUGGUAGUCCACACCGUAAAACGUUGGGCGCUAGGUGUGGGGUCCUUUCCACGGAUUCCGUGCCGUAGCUAACGCAUUAAGCGCCCCGCCUGGGGAGUACGGCCGCAAGGCUAAAAACUUAAAAGGAAUUGACGGGGUCA
RNAcentral lists this ribosomal RNA (560 nucleotides) under uncultured bacterium. Its description in RNAcentral is "partial 16S ribosomal RNA". It matches the Rfam family "Bacterial small subunit ribosomal RNA", at positions 355 to 921 of the family's 1533-position model. The record is from RNAcentral.